UAUAUUCUGUAGCAAGGUUAACCGUAUAGGGGAGCCGGAGGGAAACCGAGUCUUAAUUGGGCGUUAAGUUGCAGGGUAUAGACCCGAAACCCGGUGAUCUAGCCAUGGGCAGGUUGAAGGUUGGGUAACACUAACUGGAGGACCGAACCGACUAAUGUUGAAAAAUUAGCGGAUGACCUGUGGCUGGGGGUGAAAGGCCAAUCAAACCGGGAGAUAGCUGGUUCUCCCCGAAAGCUAUUUAGGUAGCGCCUCGUGAAUUCAUCUCCGGGGGUAGAGCACUGUUUCGGCUAGGGGGCCAUCCCGGCUUACCAACCCGAUGCAAACUGCGAAUACCGGAGAAUGUUAUCACGGGAGACACACGGCGGGUGCUAACGUCCGUCGUGAAGAGGGAAACAACCCAGACCGCCAGCUAAGGUCCCAAAGUCAUGGUUAAGUGGGAAACGAUGUGGGAAGGCCCAGACAGCCAGGAUGUUGGCUUAGAAGCAGCCAUCAUUUAAAGAAAGCGUAAUAGCUCACUGGUCGAGUCGGCCUGCGCGGAAGAUGUAACGGGGCUAAACCAUGCACCGAAGCUGCGGCAG
This 578-nucleotide ribosomal RNA is filed under the name Salmonella enterica subsp. enterica serovar Paratyphi B var. L(+) tartrate +. RNAcentral's name for it is "partial 23S ribosomal RNA". It matches the Rfam family "Bacterial large subunit ribosomal RNA", at positions 629 to 1208 of the family's 2925-position model. Lineage: Bacteria; Pseudomonadati; Pseudomonadota; Gammaproteobacteria; Enterobacterales; Enterobacteriaceae. The record is from RNAcentral.